GAUUCGCCCGCCGCGCCCCGCGCCCGUCCCGCCGCCCCCGCCCGCUCCUACGGGAGGCAGCAGUGGGGAAUUUUGGACAAUGGGCGCAAGCCUGAUCCAGCUAUUCCGCGUGUGGGAUGAAGGCCCUCGGGUUGUAAACCACUUUUGUAGAGAACGAAAAGACACCUUCGAAUAAAGGGUGUUGCUGACGGUACUCUAAGAAUAAGCACCGGCUAACUACGUGCCAGCAGCCGCGGUAAUACA
This 243-nucleotide ribosomal RNA is filed under the name uncultured organism. Its description in RNAcentral is "partial 16S ribosomal RNA". It matches the Rfam family "Bacterial small subunit ribosomal RNA", at positions 301 to 527 of the family's 1533-position model. The record is from RNAcentral.